Long non-coding RNA from Mauremys reevesii (Reeves's turtle), 276 nucleotides. RefSeq lists it as uncharacterized. The record is from RefSeq and is a predicted model, not a curated record. Lineage: Eukaryota; Metazoa; Chordata; Testudines; Geoemydidae. The transcript has 2 exons.
CUGGAACAGCGAUCUGCAGCCAGUGGGAGCCACGAUCGGCGGAAUCUGAGGACAGGACAGAUUUAUGAAAUGACCCCUUCAACAUGGCUCAGGGCGCACAUGCUCCUGGAAUAACCCUGCACUGGCAGGGGGAUGCACAGGAUGGUUUAUUAUUAGGAGAAGAGGGCACGAUGACCUAACAUUCUCCAGUUUCUGUGAUUCUAUGCCCCACACAUACCCCUCAUAAACACCAUGCAAAGCAGGUCUUUAAUGUGGGAAAUAGAAUGUUCCUAGUGA